UACGUAGGGCGCAAGCGUUGUCCGGAAUUAUUGGGCGUAAAGAGCUCGUAGGCGGUUUUGUCGCGUCUGCUGUGAAAACCUAAGGCUCAACCUUGGGCUUGCAGUGGGUACGGGCAGACUAGAGUGCGGUAGGGGUGACUGGAAUUCCUGGUGUAGCGGUGGAAUGCGCAGAUAUCAGGAGGAACACCCGAUGGCGAAGGCAGGUCACUGGGCCGCA
Molecule: ribosomal RNA, 217 nt
Filed under: uncultured bacterium
Lineage: Bacteria
Description: partial 16S ribosomal RNA
Rfam family: Bacterial small subunit ribosomal RNA
Source: RNAcentral